This 569-nucleotide ribosomal RNA is filed under the name Roseibium album. RNAcentral describes it as "bacterial LSU rRNA". It matches the Rfam family "Bacterial large subunit ribosomal RNA", at positions 1 to 652 of the family's 2925-position model. Lineage: Bacteria; Pseudomonadati; Pseudomonadota; Alphaproteobacteria; Hyphomicrobiales; Stappiaceae. The record is from RNAcentral.
UCUUAAGGGCGUUCGGUGGAUGCCUUGGCGACAAGAGGCGAUGAAGGACGUGAUACGCUGCGAUAAGCCAUGGGGAGCUGCGAAUAAGCUUUGAUCCGUGGAUUUCCGAAUGGGGAAACCCACUCCGUAUGGAGUACCCUUUUAUGGGAGCAAACCCGGGGAACUGAAACAUCUAAGUACCCGGAGGAAAGGACAUCAACCGAGACUCCGCUAGUAGUGGCGAGCGAACGCGGACCAGGCCAGUGGCUAUAGAGUAAGAACCGGAACCGUCUGGAAAGUCGGGCCUUAGUGGGUGAUAGCCCCGUACGGGUAGAAAACUUUAUAGUCCUCGAGUAGGGCGGGACACGUGAAAUCCUGUCUGAACGUGGGGGGACCACCCUCCAAGCCUAAGUACUCCUUGUCGACCGAUAGUGAACAAGUACCGUGAGGGAAAGGUGAAAAGUACCCCGACGAGGGGAGUGAAACAGUUCCUGAAACCGGACGCCUACAAACAGUUGGAGCCCGCAAGGGUGACAGCGUACCUUUUGUAUAAUGGGUCAGCGACUUAAUUUAACGAGCAAGCUUAAGCC